Molecule: long non-coding RNA, 821 nt
Organism: Sceloporus undulatus (fence lizard)
Lineage: Eukaryota; Metazoa; Chordata; Lepidosauria; Squamata; Phrynosomatidae
Exons: 2
Source: RefSeq, a predicted model, not a curated record
AUAUUUGGGGGAGGCUUCUGGUCCUGGGAGUAAGGCUUGGCUGGGUGUGUAUGUGUGUCCUUCAUGGAGGUUCCAGCUUGGCUGGAGGACAGUCUGAUCUAUAAGUCAGAGGCAACGUUUCUCCUUCUCAAGGAGAAAGAGAGAUUUCAGGAACCACCUGAGGCAUCCAUGAAUACUGAACUGAACUGACAUUUGUGUUCACAUCAAAGGACCAACACUGGGGAGAAAGUGGAUACAUGCAAGGAAUGUGGCAAGAACUUUGCUAGGAGUGAUGUUCUUACUUUACAAGUAAGAGCGCAUACAGGAGAGAAGUGCAUUGUAUGUGGAAAUAGCUUCAGCCAAAGUGGACAUCUGCAUAACACCAAAGACAUCAAACAGGAGAGAAGCUUUAUAAAUGCAUGAUCUGUAGAGUAACCUUCAGUAGGAAUACUGCUCUACCUUUCAUGAAAGUUGACAAGGGAGGAAAGCUCUAUAAAUGCAUGGAACUUGGAAACCCUUUCCAUUUUGGUAUCAAUUGGACUGAAGAGAAACCUUUUGUGUAUAUUUCAGCUGUGAAAAGUACUUCAGUGAUGGUAAAAUACUGACUAAAGCAGAAGCCUGGCUGGGCAGUUUCACAGCCGAUUCCUCAGAAGCAGAUGAAUAGAUUGGUUUGAAACUUGCUUAUGAUGGAGCUCAGCUUGGUUGAUGGUGAAUUUGAGGUUUGACAAUGGUUUGUGUUUAGGAAGGUAACAUUUGAGAUUUGAAUCGCAGCAGUUUGGCAUAUAUUGUUUGUUCUUUGUUAUAUGUGUUGUUGGGAUUAAAGUUUCUCUCUUUGCAGUGAA